GCCAGGUGCAGUGGAGCACACCUGUAAUCCCAGCAACUUGGGAGGCUGAGGCAGGAGGAUCAUAAGUUUGAGGCCAGCCUCAGCAAUUUAGCAAGGGCCUAAACAACUUAGUGAGACCUUAUCUCAA
Molecule: small RNA, 127 nt
Filed under: Marmota monax (woodchuck)
Lineage: Eukaryota; Metazoa; Chordata; Mammalia; Rodentia; Sciuridae
Source: RNAcentral